RNAcentral lists this ribosomal RNA (2563 nucleotides) under human gut metagenome. Its description in RNAcentral is "bacterial LSU rRNA". It matches the Rfam family "Bacterial large subunit ribosomal RNA", at positions 1 to 2570 of the family's 2925-position model. The record is from RNAcentral.
UCAAGUGAAAUACAGGUCUAUGGCGGAUGCCUAUGGAGCCGUAAGACGAAGAAGGCCGUGAUAAGCUGCGAAAAGCCGCGGGAAGGAGCACAUAUCCGUAGAUCCGCGGACAGCCGAAUGGGGUAACCCGCAGGGAGCGAUUCCUGCAUUCGGCGCCUGAAUAAAAUAGGGCGCGGAAGUCAUACUGCGUGAAGUGAACCAUCUAAGUAACGCGGGAACAGAAAUCAACAGAGAUUCCCCGAGUAGCGGCGAGCGAAAAGGGAGGAGCCCAAACCGCAUAAGGCGGGGUUGUAGGACUGCAUAAAGAGAAAGAAAACUGCUUUGCAGGAGAACCGCAUGGGAAGGCGGGACAGAGAGUGUGAGAUCCACGUAUCCGAAACGGAGCAGACUCUGGCAGUAUCCUGAGUACGGCGGGGCACGAGGAACCCUGCCGGAAUCCGGGUCGACCACGAUCCAAGGCUAAAUACUAGACGGCUACCGAUAGCGAACAAGUACCGUGAGGGAAAGGCGAAAAGAACCCCGGUGAGGGGAGUGAAAGAGAACCUGAAACCAUAGACUGACAAGAUGUCACAGCCCGCAAGGGUAGUGGCGUGUCUUUUGUAGAAUAAACCUGCGAGUUACGGUGUGCAGCGAGGCUAAGGGAUGGCAGUCCCGGAGCCGUAGGGAAACCGAGUCUGAAAAGGGCGGAAAGUUGCAUGCAGUAGACCCGAAGCCAAGGUGAUCUUAUCAUGGGCAGGCUGAAGGCAGGGUGAAACCUGUUGGAGGGCCGAACAGUAAUCUGUUAAAAAAGGUAGUGAUGACCUGUGAUAAGGAGUGAAAGGCUAAACAAACCUGGAAAUAGCUGGCUCUCCCCGAAAUGCCUUUAGGGACAGCCUCAUACAAAGCUUGCGGAGGUAAAGCACUGGAUGGCAGCGGGGGUGUCAAAGUCUACCAAUGCCAAUCAAACUCUGAAUGCCGUAAGCCAGCGUAUGGGAGUGAGACUGUGUGCGCCAAGGUUCACAGUCGAGAGGGAAACAGCCCGGACCGCCGGCCAAGGUCCCGAAAUCAUGCUGAGUGUUAAAUGAAGUGCGGAUGCGCAGACAGCCAGGAGGUUGGCUCAGAAGCAGCCAUUCCUUGAAAGAGUGCGUAACAGCUCACUGGUCGAGCAUCCGUGCGCAGACAAUGUAACGGGGCUAAGCAUGAUACCGAAGCCGCGGGCCAGCACCAUAAGGUGCUGACGGUAGGGGAGCAUACCAAUAACCGGAGAAGGGCCACCUGCGAGGGGACCUGGAGGACUUGGUAGAGAGAAUGCAGGCAUAAGUAACGAAAAGACGGGUGAGAUUCCCGUCCGCCGAAAACCUAAGGUUUCCAGGGUAAAGGCAAUCUGCCCUGGGUAAGUCGGCCCCUAAGACGAGGCGGAAACGCGUAGCCGAUGGGAAUCCGGUUCAUAAUCCGGAACCUGAACCAGACUGAUGCCAUGACGCAUGAGGCGAAAUCCGGCAGGGCGACGGUAGUCCCUGUCCAAGCGGCAAGGCGGAGACGGAGGGGUCAAAAGACCUCCGGAGCCGAGCCGUUACGGCGAGAAGAGAGAAAGUCGAAUCGAAGCGGACGUAGUCAUGGUGCCGGGAAACAGUGGCUGGGAUAUGUGGUUCAGACCGUACCGUAAACGGACACACGUAGGUGGGAUGAGUAAUCUAAGGCGCACGAGCGAACUCGCGUUAAGGAACUCGGCAAAAUGCACACGUAACUUCGGAAGAAGUGUGGCUCCAGUUUGAAAGAAUGAGGAGCGGCAGAAAGCAGGCCCAGGCGACUGUUUAUCAAAAACACAGCCAUCUGCGAACCAGCAAUGGGACGUAUAGGUGGUGACACCUGCCCGGUGCCGGAAGGUUAAGGGGAGGGGUUAGCGGCAACGCGAAGCUCUGAACCGAAGCCCCGGUAAACGGCGGCCGUAACUAUAACGGUCCUAAGGUAGCGAAAUUCCUUGUCGGGUAAGUUCCGACCCGCACGAAUGGUGUAACGAUUCUGGGCACUGUCUCAACGCGAGACUCGGUGAAAUUUAUAUUCCGGUAAAGAAGCCGGAUACCCAUAAUUAGACGGAAAGACCCCGUGAACCUUCACCGUAACUUAAUAUUGGGAUCCUGUUCAUUAUGUGUAGGAUAGCUGGGAGGCUGUGAGGCGUGACCGUCAGGCUGCGCGGAGCCGCCGGUGAAAUACCAGCCUUGAUGAACAGGAUUUCUAACCCGGGCCUUGAAGCAGGUACGGGGACAAUGUUAGGCAGGCGGUUUGACUGGGGCGGUCGCCUCCCAAAGAGUAACGGAGGUGCGCGAAGGUCUCCUCACCCUGGUUGGAAAUCAGGGCGCGAGUGUAAAGGCACAAGGAGGCUUGACUGAGAGGCAGACAUGCCGAUCAGGUGCGAAAGCAGGUCUUAGUGAUCUGAUGGUUCCGAGUGGAAGGGCCAUCACUUAACGGACAAAAGGUACUCCGGGGAUAACAGGCUGAUUUUCCCCAAGAGUUCACAUCGACGGGAAAGUUUGGCACCUCGAUGUCGGCUCAUCGCAUCCUGGGGCUGGAGCAGGUCCCAAGG